AAAGUUCUGAAGAAGAGCCUCCCCCUCUUGCAUCCUCCUGUGGGGAAGAGUGUGGCUGCUGUCCGUCUCCCGGUGACCAGAGGAGGAAGAACCACCUAUUCUCAGAGCUACAACACAGGCUCACCGGCGACACUCACGAUUCUAAAGGUGGCUUCCUGGCCUGGGUGAACCCAACUUGGAAACAGAUGAAGAAACAGGUCCAUAAGAACAAGAUCGGGGCGCCUGGGUGGCGCAGUCGGUU
Herpailurus yagouaroundi (jaguarundi) is the source of this 241-nucleotide long non-coding RNA. RefSeq lists it as uncharacterized. The record is from RefSeq and is a predicted model, not a curated record. The transcript has 3 exons. NCBI's taxonomy places the organism in Eukaryota, Metazoa, Chordata, Mammalia, Carnivora, Felidae.